GUAAUAUAUAGAUAACGUGCCUCUUAGUCUGGGAUAGCCAUUGGAAACGAUGAUUAAUACCGGAUACUCCUUCUAACUCUAAUGUUAGUCGGGAAAGUUUUUCGCUAAGAGAUCGGUCUAUAUCCCAUCAGUUAGUUGGUAAGGUAACGGCUUACCAAGGCAAUGACGGGUAGCGGGUUUGAGAGGAUGAUCCGCCACACUGGUACUGAGACACGGACCAGACUCCUACGGGAGGCAGCAGUGAGGAAUAUUGCACAAUGGGGGAAACCCUGAUGCAGCAACGCCGCGUGGAGGAUGACGCAUUUCGGUGUGUAAACUCCUUUUAUGAGUCAAGAAAAUGACGGUAGCUCAUGAAUAAGCACCGGCUAACUCCGUGCCAGCAGCCGCGGUAAUACGGAGGGUGCAAGCGUUACUCGGAAUCACUGGGCGUAAAGGACGCGUAGGCGGGAUGCCAAGUCUGAUGUGAAAUCCUAUGGCUUAACCAUAGAACUGCAUUGGAAACUGGUAACCUAGAGUAUGGGAGGGGGAGAUGGAAUUAGUGGUGUAGGGGUAAAAUCCGUAGAUAUCACUAGGAAUACCGAAAGCGAAGGCGAUCUCCUGGAACAUAACUGACGCUAAGGCGUGAAAGCGUGGGGAGCAAACGGGAUUAGAUACCCCGGUAGUCCACGCCCUAAACGAUGAACACUAGUCGUCGCUCUGCUUGUCAGGGCGGUGAUGCACUUAACAGAUUAAGUGUUCCGCCUGGGGAGUACGGUCGCAAGAUUAAAACUCAAAGGAAUAGACGGGGACCCGCACAAGUGGUGGAGCAUGUGGUUUAAUUCGAAGAUACGCGAAGAACCUUACCUAGCCUUGACAUUGAUAGAAUACCCUAGAGAUAGAGUAGUGCCUUUCGGGGAACUUGAAAACAGGUGCUGCACGGCUGUCGUCAGCUCGUGUCGUGAGAUGUUGGGUUAAGUCCCGCAACGAG
This 967-nucleotide ribosomal RNA is filed under the name uncultured bacterium. RNAcentral describes it as "bacterial SSU rRNA". It matches the Rfam family "Bacterial small subunit ribosomal RNA", at positions 110 to 1096 of the family's 1533-position model. The record is from RNAcentral.